This 383-nucleotide ribosomal RNA is filed under the name uncultured eukaryote. RNAcentral's name for it is "partial 18S ribosomal RNA". It matches the Rfam family "Eukaryotic small subunit ribosomal RNA", at positions 592 to 976 of the family's 1831-position model. The record is from RNAcentral.
CAAUAGCGUAUAUUAAAGUUGUUGCAGUUAAAAAGCUCGUAGUUGGAUUUCUGGUGGGAGCGAUCGGUCUGGCGCUUAGCGCGAGUACUUGCAUCGUCUCCGGCCAUCCUUGGGGAGAGUCUGUCUGGCAUUAGGUUGUCGGGCAGAGGAUCCUCAUCGUUUACUGUGAAAAAAUUAGAGUGUUCAAAGCAGGCUUAUGCCGUUGAAUAUAUUAGCAUGGAAUAAUAAGAUAGGACUUUGGUACUAUUUUGUUGGUUUGCGCACCAAAGUAAUGAUUAAUAGGAACAGUUGGGGGUAUUCGUAUUCCGUUGUCAGAGGUGAAAUUCUUGGAUUUACGGAAGACGAACUACUGCGAAAGCAUUUACCAAGGAUGUUUUCAUUAA